This 2126-nucleotide long non-coding RNA is filed under the name Vitis vinifera (wine grape). RNAcentral's name for it is "long non-coding RNA (VVIN_LNC007729)". Lineage: Eukaryota; Viridiplantae; Streptophyta; Magnoliopsida; Vitales; Vitaceae. The record is from RNAcentral.
ACCUAUAUUUUCAAUCCCAUAUGUAAUCCUGCUGGCGGAUAUAUCAGAGAUCUUCACCUUGAUCCCUCGUAUAUCCUUUCCAAGUUUAUGUUGAAGUGCUAAUUCAUUCAACAGGAAGGAGAAGCAGCAAACACACCUUUUGAUGAAUCCGGCUCUCUUUCUUGGACCGGUCGAUUUGAUCAUGAUGAAAGUGUCGAUAGCAUCCUCAACUUGGUAAGCCACAUCUCUUACAUCCCUGACCCAGGUUUUCACUCUCUCAUCUCCCUUCUGCUUCGCGUCCGCAUCUUUUAGGAAGCAGUUGAUCCGAAUCAAUUCCCUUUCAAUCCACUCCACUUCACUUUGGACAUGAGUCCUCCUCACUGCAUAUCCAAAUUCUUCUAUGAGCAAACCACCAAGCUUUUCCACAGCUAAUGCAACAACUGCUUCGACCAUUUUCUUUUCUCUUGGGAGGUUCUGCUUGGGAGUUGCCUCGAGGGUUCACAAUUAAUUCUAAUGGGUUUUCUUCCAUCAACCAACUUUACCCCACGUUCCUGGAUUCUUCCUUGGAAUAAAUAAGGCCCAAUGGCUGACUAACCUUUCUAAGGGACCACUGGGGGAAGAAAUUGAGUAUAAAACUUUCAAGGGAUAGCAAUGAAUUAUUUUUGAAAGAGAAUUCUCCCCCAUAUAGAAAAUAUCGGAAUACACGAUAUAUAAGUAAGAUAUAUUUAUUAACAAAGAUAUCAGAAAAUAUUGACUAUAUGUCAACGAUGUAUCAAUGAUUUCCAAUAUAUGGACGAUACAAGCAAAAAAUCCUCGAAUUAUUAAUUAAAAAACAAUGAGGUCUAAUGCCCAAACUUUUUGAUUUGUUGGAUCAACCCAACUAACCUAUAUACAAUGACCUUUUUAAUCUUUUUUAAUAGGUGAAAAGAUGGAUGACAUCCGAUUUAAUAGAUGUAAAUUUUAAACUUUAAUAUGGGUCGAAGGUAGACUUAGGCCUGACUCGUCAUCUAUUAUAUAAACUAAACUUAUUUUGUGGUAUGCGUGUGCUUAGAAUUAUUUAUAUUUUAUGGUAUAUAUGUGAUUAUUAUAUGUAUAUUUUUAUAUAUUUUAUAAAUUAAUUAAAAUAAAAGUAUUAUAAAUAAGUUAAUUUUAAUUAUAUUAUAAUUUUUUUUGUAUACUAAUUAAAUAUAAGACAAAUAUAAAAUCAUAAAUAAAAUUAUCAAUAUUUAAAAAAUAUAUAUUUUUAUUUGUAAUAAUUUAGUUUUAAAUUAAUGAUUUAAUUUUAUUUUGAUAUUUAAGUGUAAUAAUAGCUCAUUAAGAAUAAAUUAACUUAGCAUAUUUUUAAAUUAGUAUAACAUUGAAUUUAAAUUAAUACAUUUUUAUAAUUAAUCAGUAUAUUUUUAAUAUAUGUAAGUAAAUUAACUUAGNNNNNNNNNNNNNNNNNNNNNNNNNNNNNNNNNNNNNNNNNNNNNNNNNNNNNNNNNNNNNNNNNNNNNNNNNNNNNNNNNNNNNNNNNNNNNNNNNNNNCCUGGUCAAGCAAUCGUGCCNCCAGCAUGUUGAUGUCUUCAUCAAAGCCAAUAACAUCAUGAUCGUCCAUUCGAGGGGAGGAUCGCCUCCUCUCACGCAACUUCUCAGACACAUAACUGCUCCCUUCCCCACCACCACCUAUAUUUUCAAUCCCAUAUGUAAUCCUGCUGGCGGAUAUAUCAGAGAUCUUCACCUUGAUCCCUCGUAUAUCCUUUCCAAGUUUAUGUUGAAGUGCUAAUUCAUUCAACAGGAAGGAGAAGCAGCAAACACACCUUUUGAUGAAUCCGGCUCUCUUUCUUGGACCGGUCGAUUUGAUCAUGAUGAAAGUGUCGAUAGCAUCCUCAACUUGGUAAGCCACAUCUCUUACAUCCCUGACCCAAGUUUUCACUCUCUCGUCUCCCUUCUGCUUCGCGUCCGCAUCUUUUAGGAAGCAGUUGAUCCGAAUCAAUUCCCUUUCAAUCCACUCCACUUCACUUUGGACAUGAGUCCUCCUCACUGCAUAUCCAAAUUCUUCUAUGAGCAAACCACCAAGCUUUUCCACAGCUAAUGCAACAACUGCUUCGACCAUUUUCUUUUCUCUUGGGAGGUUCUGCUUGGGAGUUGCCUUAAGGGUUCACAAU